GACGAACGCUGGCGGCGUGCUUAACACAUGCAAGUCGAACGGUAAGGCCCUUCGGGGUACACGAGUGGCGAACGGGUGAGUAACACGUGGGUGAUCUGCCCUGCACUUCGGGAUAAGCUUGGGAAACUGGGUCUAAUACCGGAUAGGACCACGGUCUGCAUGGAUUGUGGUGGAAAGCUUUUGCGGUGUGGGAUGGGCCCGCGGCCUAUCAGCUUGUUGGUGGGGUGAUGGCCUACCAAGGCGACGACGGGUAGCCGGCCUGAGAGGGUGUCCGGCCACACUGGGACUGAGAUACGGCCCAGACUCCUACGGGAGGCAGCAGUGGGGAAUAUUGCACAAUGGGCGCAAGCCUGAUGCAGCGACGCCGCGUGGGGGAUGACGGCCUUCGGGUUGUAACCUC
This 400-nucleotide ribosomal RNA is filed under the name uncultured bacterium. RNAcentral's name for it is "bacterial SSU rRNA". It matches the Rfam family "Bacterial small subunit ribosomal RNA", at positions 28 to 432 of the family's 1533-position model. The record is from RNAcentral.